CAGAGUAGACUUAAGCGCGUCAAGUGCCGCCGGAUGGGAGGUCGCCGGCGGACGAAGGGAGCGUCCCGCGUCGCUAAAGCCGCAUCCGCUGC
Molecule: non-coding RNA, 92 nt
Filed under: uncultured Lawsonibacter sp.
Lineage: Bacteria; Bacillati; Bacillota; Clostridia; Eubacteriales; Oscillospiraceae
Description: THF riboswitch
Rfam family: THF (Tetrahydrofolate) riboswitch aptamer
About the family: THF riboswitch presents a pseudoknot that joins P1-P2 and the loop of P3 and two THF binding.
Source: RNAcentral